RNAcentral lists this ribosomal RNA (303 nucleotides) under Triticum aestivum (bread wheat). RNAcentral describes it as "partial small subunit ribosomal RNA". The record is from RNAcentral. Lineage: Eukaryota; Viridiplantae; Streptophyta; Magnoliopsida; Poales; Poaceae.
AUGUACCCUUUGGCUUGGGCAGUUGUUGAAAAAGAGAACAAUGAUAGUUGGGACUGGUUUUGUUCUUUACUUUUCAGAGAUGUGAAUGUGCUAGAUGGUGAAGGUUGGGUGAUUAGAUGCAGGAAAUGCAAGUGCACUGGUCACAAUAAAACUACAUGUCCAGGAAAUGCCACUUCAAGUUCAAAUGGAGCAGCUACUGUUGGACAAAAUGCAGCUUCAGGAAAUGCCGCUAGAUCAUUUACCAAGUCCAGAAGCAAUGCAAAAGCCUCCAAGAUGUCUAGUUCCCAGGUACAAUACACAUAA